Non-coding RNA from Labrus bergylta (ballan wrasse), 650 nucleotides. The record is from RefSeq and is a predicted model, not a curated record. Lineage: Eukaryota; Metazoa; Chordata; Actinopteri; Labriformes; Labridae.
UAGUCUGACUUACAGCAUUGGCGUUGCCUCCGACCUGCAUACAUCUGAGCUGGAACCAGUUCCAGUUGGAGUCUAACUCGGUGGACCUGAGAGGAAAGAAAAGAACAAAAGAAAGUCAGCGCUGCAGAACGUCAUGUACACCGUGUCGAUACAGAUUCUCAGUAACACUGAGUCUUACCUGAUGAAGCUGAGAUGAACUCCCAGGGAGCGGUGGAUGCCCGAGCAGUCGAUGCACAAGAACACGCCGUAAGAGAUGCUCGCCCAGCUCGGGUUUUUGGCUGCGCAGUCAAAACAUGCCUGCAAGGAAACAGCGUUUACACAAACAAUUAUUACACGGGGCGACUUUGAUGAAAUCUGUAACGAACAUCAACAUGGUUUUGGGAAGUAGCGCAGUACGGUUGCCAGUUCCAGUCCCGGUGAGGUACCCUUGAGCAAGGCACUGAACCCUCCUCCACCACCAGCUCAGGAGCUGGGCAGCCCGCUCGCCGUGGUCAGCCGGGCCACUCUAACAUCUCUCAUGUCCAUAGAAUCCUGUUUGCGCACGUGUGUAUAUUUCAGUCUAUGCUUGUAAAUGUAAUUUCCCCUUGCGGAAUCAAUAAAGUAAACUCUACAAUUCACUUAGCAGACGCUUUUAUCCAAAGCGACGUACA